RNAcentral lists this ribosomal RNA (499 nucleotides) under uncultured bacterium. Its description in RNAcentral is "partial 16S ribosomal RNA". It matches the Rfam family "Bacterial small subunit ribosomal RNA", at positions 899 to 1397 of the family's 1533-position model. The record is from RNAcentral.
ACUCAAAUGAAUUGACGGGGGCCCGCACAAGCGGUGGAUUAUGUGGUUUAAUUCGAAGCAACGCGCAGAACCUUACCUGGGCUUGAACUCCCACGAACCUGGCAGAGAUGUUGGGGUGCCCUUCGGGGAAUGUGGUGAGAGGUGCUGCAUGGCUGUCGUCAGCUCGUGUCGUGAGAUGUUGGGUUAAGUCUCGCAACGAGCGCAACCCCUAUCGUUAGUUGCCAGCAUUAAGUUGGGCACUCUAGUGAGACUGCCUGGGUUAACCAGGAGGAAGGUGGGGAUGACGUCAAGUCCUCAUGGCCCUUAUGUCCAGGGCUACACACGUAAUACAAUGGUGCAUACAAAGGGAAGCGAACUCGCGAGGGGGAGCUAAUCUCAAAAAGUGCAUCUCAGUCCGGAUUGGAGUCUGCAACUCGACUCCAUGAAGUUGGAAUCGCUAGUAAUCGCGGAUCAGCACGCCGCGGUGAAUACGUUCCCGGGCCUUGUACACACCGCCCGU